Molecule: long non-coding RNA, 1405 nt
Organism: Columba livia (rock pigeon)
Lineage: Eukaryota; Metazoa; Chordata; Aves; Columbiformes; Columbidae
Exons: 2
Source: RefSeq, a predicted model, not a curated record
UUGGUAAGAGAUUGCCAGAGAGAACACAGGAGACCAAAUCGACACACGAAGGCCUCUGCAGAGAAGUAGGACAAGGAAGAGAAUCAAAAGCAGUGGUGAGGACCACCUCACUGCAGAACCAAUGUCCAGUGAGCACCGGAGAGACAUUGGAGGGUGGGAGAAAGGGGACAGGUCACGUCGUCUCCCUCGGGGGCCCUUUGGCAUCCAGGUGAGGAUGACAGGGUCUAGGAGCAGCAGGGCCCUUCCUGCCAUUGGGGCUGCAAACAAGACUACAUGAGUGCCCAGGCCCUAUGUCCCCAGCCUGCACAUGAGCCUUCAGGCACUUGGAACUCAUCUUCCGCAUGCAUUGAUGUACUUAUUUCCUAGGAAUCCUUGGGUGGACCACUCCAGCUUUGAAAAAGAGCCCUCAAGGGGCAGAGAAUAUGGCCAAACAAGGAAAUGAAAAGACAGCUGUUCAGGAAACUAAAACACAACCUAUCAUUAGGUGAGAUGUUUUGCACUUGGGAUGAGCUUCUCAGAAAAUUAUGAAUUCCUCAAAGGCUUCUUCUGGGUCUGGGGCAACACAGGACCAGUAUAAAAGCCAUCGCAGCUCUUCACUCCCUCAACACCUUUGAACUCCUUCUUCUCCUUUGGAAGUGCAGCUCCAGCCACAAGACAUGUUCUGCUGCAACCCCUGCCUGCCCUGCCAGCCGUGCGGCCCAACCCCACUGGCCAACAGCUGCAAUGAGCCCUGUUGCAGGCAGUGCCCGAGCUCCAAUGUUGUCAUUGAGCCCUCCCCCGUGGUGGUGACCCUGCCUGGUCCCAUCCUCAGCUCCUUCUCACAGAACACCAUUGUGGGCUCCUCCACCUCUGCUGCUGCUGGCAGAAUCCUCAGCUGUAAUGGAGUGCCCAUCAACUCUGGGUGCUGUGACCUCUCCUGCUUCAGCAACCGCUACUGUGGCACGAGGUGCCUGCCCUGCUAAAACUGCCACAGGUGUCCACCCUGAACGAUUCCCAGGAACCCAGAAGAUGGUAACGGGCUGAACAUGGAGAUCCUGGCCGUUGCAUUCAGAGGGACUCAGCAUUCUCGGCUUUACCUGCAAAGGCAGGCAUGAAGAGGUGUGCCUGGACUCUCUGAAAACAUAGCCCUUGUCUAACUUGCUUUUUUCUCACUCUCAUGUCUCUCUCUCUUCUCUGUCACUUGUUCUUCUCCCCUGGGCUGUGAGUACCUGUUAAACCUCAUCCGUGGAAGGAUCUGCUGCCCCAUUCCAUCUUGGAGGCAGUCAGGCAGACAGAUGCCCUGUGCUAAGUCCACCCUGUCUAAGGGGCAAGGCCCCAGCUACUCUUGGUUUACCCUGCAUCGUGACCCCCACUCAGGGGAUGUCCUUUCCCUCUUUCAACUCAUUAAAGUUCUUCUGCAUUCUAA